Molecule: ribosomal RNA, 208 nt
Filed under: uncultured bacterium
Lineage: Bacteria
Description: partial 16S ribosomal RNA
Rfam family: Bacterial small subunit ribosomal RNA
Source: RNAcentral
UACGGAAGGUCCGGGCGUUAUCCGGAUUUAUUGGGUUUAAAGGGAGCGUAGGCCGAAGAUUGAGCGUGCUGUGAAAUGUGGCGGCUCAACCGCCGAACAGCAGCUCGGACUGGUUGUCUUGAGUGCUCGGAAGGCAGGCGGAAUUCGUGGUGUAGCGGUGAAAUGCUUAGAUAUCACGAAGGACCCCGAUUGCGAAGGCAGCUUGCCG